Molecule: ribosomal RNA, 1363 nt
Filed under: Lactiplantibacillus plantarum
Lineage: Bacteria; Bacillati; Bacillota; Bacilli; Lactobacillales; Lactobacillaceae
Description: bacterial SSU rRNA
Rfam family: Bacterial small subunit ribosomal RNA
Source: RNAcentral
CGACGAACUCUGGUAUUGAUUGGUGCUUGCAUCAUGAUUUACAUUUGAGUGAGUGGCGAACUGGUGAGUAACACGUGGGAAACCUGCCCAGAAGCGGGGGAUAACACCUGGAAACAGAUGCUAAUACCGCAUAACAACUUGGACCGCAUGGUCCGAGCUUGAAAGAUGGCUUCGGCUAUCACUUUUGGAUGGUCCCGCGGCGUAUUAGCUAGAUGGUGGGGUAACGGCUCACCAUGGCAAUGAUACGUAGCCGACCUGAGAGGGUAAUCGGCCACAUUGGGACUGAGACACGGCCCAAACUCCUACGGGAGGCAGCAGUAGGGAAUCUUCCACAAUGGACGAAAGUCUGAUGGAGCAACGCCGCGUGAGUGAAGAAGGGUUUCGGCUCGUAAAACUCUGUUGUUAAAGAAGAACAUAUCUGAGAGUAACUGUUCAGGUAUUGACGGUAUUUAACCAGAAAGCCACGGCUAACUACGUGCCAGCAGCCGCGGUAAUACGUAGGUGGCAAGCGUUGUCCGGAUUUAUUGGGCGUAAAGCGAGCGCAGGCGGUUUUUUAAGUCUGAUGUGAAAGCCUUCGGCUCAACCGAAGAAGUGCAUCGGAAACUGGGAAACUUGAGUGCAGAAGAGGACAGUGGAACUCCAUGUGUAGCGGUGAAAUGCGUAGAUAUAUGGAAGAACACCAGUGGCGAAGGCGGCUGUCUGGUCUGUAACUGACGCUGAGGCUCGAAAGUAUGGGUAGCAAACAGGAUUAGAUACCCUGGUAGUCCAUACCGUAAACGAUGAAUGCUAAGUGUUGGAGGGUUUCCGCCCUUCAGUGCUGCAGCUAACGCAUUAAGCAUUCCGCCUGGGGAGUACGGCCGCAAGGCUGAAACUCAAAGGAAUUGACGGGGGCCCGCACAAGCGGUGGAGCAUGUGGUUUAAUUCGAAGCUACGCGAAGAACCUUACCAGGUCUUGACAUACUAUGCAAAUCUAAGAGAUUAGACGUUCCCUUCGGGGGACAUGGAUACAGGUGGUGCAUGGUUGUCGUCAGCUCGUGUCGUGAGAUGUUGGGUUAAGUCCCGCAACGAGCGCAACCCUUAUUAUCAGUUGCCAGCAUUAAGUUGGGCACUCUGGUGAGACUGCCGGUGACAAACCGGAGGAAGGUGGGGAUGACGUCAAAUCAUCAUGCCCCUUAUGACCUGGGCUACACACGUGCUACAAUGGAUGGUACAACGAGUUGCGAACUCGCGAGAGUAAGCUAAUCUCUUAAAGCCAUUCUCAGUUCGGAUUGUAGGCUGCAACUCGCCUACAUGAAGUCGGAAUCGCUAGUAAUCGCGGAUCAGCAUGCCGCGGUGAAUACGUUCCCGGGCCUUGUACACACCG